Trematomus bernacchii (emerald rockcod) is the source of this 347-nucleotide long non-coding RNA. RefSeq lists it as uncharacterized. Lineage: Eukaryota; Metazoa; Chordata; Actinopteri; Perciformes; Nototheniidae. The transcript has 3 exons. The record is from RefSeq and is a predicted model, not a curated record.
GAGAUCUUCUGGAGAGUCCAGACUGCAGACUGGAGACUCUCAGGAUCAGAGAGGAUGAGACGAUCAGAGCCAAGAUCCAGAAGAACUGAACUCCCAUCCCCCGAGUCCUGCGGCAGGAAGCGCUCCUUCUCUCCAAGAACUCCUGGACCCUGCAAGCUGGUCCAGAACCAGAGUCCCAGUGAGGAGUCCAGCCAGUCCACCUCUCAGAGUUAAACUAAACUACAACAUUAUUAAAGAUCAUGUUUAAAGUUAAAAAAGGAUGCUUUCAGACUGAAUCCAGAAGUUUCUCAAGCUGCAGUCAAAGCAGGUCAUUUGAGAAAAUAUAUUACAACAAAAAAAAACUAUAA